UGAGACAGGAAUCUGUUUAUGUUGUAGC
This 28-nucleotide non-coding RNA is filed under the name Rattus norvegicus (Norway rat). Lineage: Eukaryota; Metazoa; Chordata; Mammalia; Rodentia; Muridae. The record is from RNAcentral.